AUGGGUAGAAGUAAGGUCAAUCCUAUUUGGGGUAAGAUAUGAAAAUUAGCUUGUCCGGCGAAGGUUAAAAAUUUUAUUUGGCAAACGCUCCACGGGACUCUACCGUGCCGUGUUACACUGGCCAACAGACAUAUAAAAACUCAGCCAAUAUGCUCAGCAUGUUUGGAUGGGCAAGAGGACACGAAACAUAUAUUAUUUCUGUGCCAGAAGGCAAAAGAAGUGUGGGAAUAUUUGGGAUUGUAUGAAGUGGUAGAAAAAGCCUGCGUCAUUGACCGUCCAGGAGAGGCAGUCCUUGAAUUCUUACUCCUUAUGCCUGAUCAUGAAUUACCUAUCUUGGGCUCCCGGAAUGCAGGGGAACUAAUCGCUAUAGCUGCUUGGUAUUUAUGGUGGAAUAGACGGAAACUAGUCCAUGAGGGUAAGUCUCAAGAGGCGUCUCAAACCUUCAUGGGGAUUAGGGCUAUAACAGCGAAUUAUGUAAAUGCCCACUCACCUAAAGCAAAGAGAAAGAAUGAAGGAUGGCGCAGACCUCCCAUGGGGUUUGUUUAA
Molecule: ribosomal RNA, 546 nt
Filed under: Triticum aestivum (bread wheat)
Lineage: Eukaryota; Viridiplantae; Streptophyta; Magnoliopsida; Poales; Poaceae
Description: partial small subunit ribosomal RNA
Source: RNAcentral